UUUGAAGCUUUGAUUACCACUUGAGGAGAACAAGUGUGGCCCGAUCUUCCGAAAGGUUCUGGUAACUAUUGAUUUGGUGGAAACGAGACACAAAUCAAUCCACCUUGCGAACAAUACGAUCCGAAACCCUGCAAUUAUUUUUUUGAUAUUUUUCUUUUACUUAGGAGCAUUCAAGAAGUAACCACAGGAAAUUUGAGCUUAAACAACUGAAAGACGUGGCCUGUGGAAAAUUUUGAAGAUCGUGAAAGAUAUGAAAAAAAAUUAGGAGGUGAAAACUCAAACUUCAGAGGUGAAUUUAGGGAUUCUAAAAUUGUUGAACUCACCGAUGGCGGACAAAGACAGAUCCAAAAAAUUUUUCUCAUCUAUUUUGAUAUAUGGAACGUCAAAAUUGGAGUUCGUCUGCGAAAGUUAUGGGUUUUUUACGAACGGACUCCGAAUUAGAGGACAAAACGGUCCGGAAGUCGGAAAAAUUUGAGGCGGCGGCUAGAAAUUGAUGGAAACGGUGGGAAGAAACACACAAACUUGGCUCUAACAAUACCUAACCAGUAACAAGACCUCGACCAGGACACAAACUCAACACUACGGACUGUGAAACUGAAAUAUGCAAAGGCUAUGGCGCGGAUGGGUUGUAGGACAUGAAAACAAUAUGGCACUAGACUUAUGGGACGAACACAAGGACACUCGAAACAAAGGGUAGAUGUGAACCUAACGGUAUGUCUGAUGCUUUGAUUACCACUUGAGGAGAACAAGUGUGGCUCGAUCUUCCGAAAGUUUCUGGUAACUAUCGAUUUGGUGGAAACGAGACACAAAUCAAUCCAGCUUGCGAACAACACGAUUCGAAACCCUGCAAUUCUUUUUUUUUUGAUAUUUUUCUUUUACUUAGGAGCACUCUAGAAGUAAGCACAGGAAAUUUGACCUUAAACAAGUGAAAGACGUGGCCUGUGAAUUUUUUUUGAAGAUUGUGAAAAAUAUAAAAAAAACUUUAGGAGGUGAAAACUUAAACUUCAGAGGUAAAUUGGGGAUUCUAAAAUUGUCGAACCCACCAGGCAGAUCCAAAAUUUUCUAAUGAUCGAUUUUGAUAUAUGGAACGUCAAAAUUGGAGUUCGUAUGCAAAAGUUAUGGCUGUUUUAAGAACAGACUCCGAAUUAGAGCACAAAACGGUCCGGAAGUGGGAAAAUUUGCGGCGGUGGCUAGAAAUUGAUGGAAACGGUGGGAAAAAACACACAAACUAGACCCUAAUAAGACCUAACCUAUAACAAUACCUCGACCAGGACACAAACUCAACACUACAGACUCUGAAACUGAAAUAUGCAAAGGCUAUAGCGCGGAUGGGUUGUAGGACAUGAAAACAAUAUGGCACUAGACUUAUGGGACGAACACAAGGACACUCGAAACUAAGGGUAGAUGUAAACCUAACGGUAUGUCUGAAGCUUUGAUUACCACUUGAUGAGAACAGGUGUGGCCCGAUCUUCAGAAAGGUUCUGGUAACUAUCGAUUUGGUGGAAACGAGACACAAAUCAAUCCAAAUUGUGAACAACACGAUCCGAAACCCUACAAGUCUUUUUAUUUUUUUUGAUAAUUUUCUUUUACUUAGGAGCACUCAAGAAGUAAUCACAGGAAAUUUGAGCUUAAACAUGUGAAAGACGUGGCCUGUGAAAUUUAUUGAAGAUUGCGAAAAUUAUGAAAAAAAACUUUAGGAGGUGAAAACUCAAACUUUAGAGGCGAAUUUGGGGAUUCUAAAAUUAUCGAACCCGAUUAAAGCGGGGAUAGGCAGAUCCAAAAUUUUAUUAUGAUCGAUUUUGAUAUGUGGAACGUCAAAAUUGGAAUUCAUAUGCGAAAGUUAUGGCUAUUUUACGAAUGGACUCCGAAUUAGAGGACAAAACGGUGUGGAAGUGGGAAAAAUUUGCGGCGGUGGCUAGAAAUUGAUGGAAACGGUGGGAAAAACACACAAACUGGACUCUAACAAGACCUAACCAGUAACAAUACCUCGAUCUAGACACAAACUCAACACUACGGACUCUGAAACUGAAAUAUACUAAGGCUAUGGUACGGAUGGGUUGUAGGACAUGAAAACAAUAUGGCACUAGACUUAUGGGACAAACACAAGGACACUCGAAACUAAGGGUAGAUGUGAACCUAAUGGUAUGUCUGAAGCAUUGAGUACCAGUUGAGGAGAACAAGUGUGGCCCGAUCUGUAACACCCCAGUGUUAUGGUUGCAUCAUUCACAUGCAUAACAUAAGCAUCAUCAUCUACUCAAGCAUAUCAUGAUCAUCAUCUACCUUGAGCCAUGUCAUUUUAUGCUAAAGUGUGCUUUAACUUGUUUAAUUAUGCUUCCUAUGCUUGUGCUUGUUUGUGCCAUGCUCAUGCUUGUGUGCUAGGCCUUGGUAAUUAGUUUAUCUAUGCUGAACUUAACCUUAGGUACAAUGUUCAUGUUGAUCACUUCUCCAAAUUAAGUGCUUAAGUCAUACUUCCAUGUAUAGGCCCUAGAAAGUUCUUUUGUUUAAGCUUUUAAAUAGUGUUUCAUAAAGUGUUUGCAUGUCAAAGCUUUCUAUAGAAAAGUUGUAGCAAAUUUUAUAAGGAACAAAAGUUGUUUUAUGGCCAUCUCAUUAAAAUAAUCACAUCUUGCUCAAAAAGUGCUUGCAAGGCAGUUUUGGGUGCUGUUUUAACACUUAGCCAAAUUUGGCUAAGUCCAGACGACACCAGUUUGCUCGAUCGAUCUUAGAAGCUUCAUAUCUCUCAAUCCAGGCCGAUCUGGCUCUUGCUCUAGUUGACAAUGUUGUAGAACUCAGCUGGUACUUCAUCUUUGUCAACUACACCAUUUCCUAAUUCGCUUUGGUUUGGGAGAUAAUCGCUGUCAAAGUCGCUCUGUCAGACGACCAUCGCCUUGUCUGAAUCGAAGCCGAGCUCGUCGACGUGGCCGACCGGCGACAGAACAUCGGCGACAUUUGGCACCCGUACGUCGUCCCUGGCCCCGCUCGUCAGCUCCCAGCAUGCGCAUGACCUCCACGGCGACGCCCCAGACGCACUGGACGCGUCCAUUCUCUCCUCCCUCUCGCUCUCUCGCCAGAAAAGCGGCCGCAGUGAGCUCACCGUCGCGAGCUCACUCCGGCGAGCUCAAACGCGCUCCUCUCUGCAUUGCUGCCCACCAAAACUCACCCACAGCUCUGCCGUGACCCACUCUCCAUCCUCCACCCGCACACUCGCCGUGAAACCCUCCGGUGAGCCGACAUUUCCGACUUCCCCCAAAUCGGGUCGUCGUGACCUUCUUCUCCGGUGAACACAAUGCUGAGCUCCUCAGAGCCUCUCAUCUUCUCUGGUUAGGUCCUAGAGGUAGCUUAGGUCCUUAGCGAAUGUUUGCACCACUUGGUGGACGCUCUACCGCACUCACCGUCGCCGGACACGACGCGCAGCGCCGCCGUGUUUCCGUCGGAGUUCGGCUCUCUCGUGGCCAGCUCAUUCCACACCGUUUCAAGCCUAGUCACCUACCUAGAAAGCUUCGUCAUAGUUUACUGGUGCUGUAGGAAACCCUAGGUCGCGCUCUACCAGCCUGAGAGCUCCGGCGUAACGCCGAGCACCUCCGCCGAGCCGCCAUGGUUGACGGCAAGCCAUUUCCGGUGGCUCUGCCGUGGGGAAAAGGGGGUCACUCGGUUCGCAAGGGUCUUGGGAUCAUGUUGGUGCCCUUGAUUUGGCCGGAGACCUCGCCGUCACGGAGAAAUCGCCGGUGAAAGUCGUCUCGGUCGUGAGGAAGACGACCCUGACACGCGGGGCCCGCUGUCAGCGACACAUCGUUUCCCUCCUUUUCUUUUAUUCAAAUCCAGAUUUUUGGCAUUCUUGCAAAAAUCAUAUCUUCUGUUUCUGUGCUCCUGUCAUGUUCCUUGAGAUGGCUAGUUUUUAUUAAAAAUAUAAAAUGCACCAUGUUUUCUGGGAAAAAUAAUUGGUAUGAUUUAAUCUUGUUAUUAUGUGUAAAUUCAUAUCUCUUGAUAUACUGCUACUUUUGCUAUGAAAUUUUGAUGCUAUGCUCUGAGUGGUAUAAGAAUGCUAUGACAAAUAUUUCUUGAUUUUUGGAGUAAUGAUAUGUGUUAUGUAAUUUAUGGUUGUGAUAUGGCUUGUUUUCUUACUUAAAUCAUAAUAAAUAAUUGGUGCUUAUGCUGGUGCUCUACUCUGGUGUCAAACUUGUUUAUGAUAAUAGUCACAUGUAAAUAAUCUGAAAUCUAUUGUUUGACACUAUCUAAGCUAUGUUUCUUAAUUUAUGAAAUAAGCACCUUGUCACAGGAUUAAAUGCUUAUCUUAAAUUUGGCAUGUGCAAUUGCUCUGAAAAUUUUAUGGUGAUGUUAAGAUGCUAUGCUUGUGCUUGUAUAAAUUUUGUAGAUUUUUCUAAGCACUUUUGCUAGUAUCUUGUAAUUAUGUCCUUUUUAUGGAAUUAAGUUAAUAAAUGCCAUGUUAUUAAUGUUUGGUGGUUCACAUGUGAUGUUCUGGUCAUCUUAGGGUAAUCUUGUGCUUGUAAGCCAUUUGGUUGACACUAUUUAUGUUUUGGCAUUGUCAUCAAAUAAUUUUUAAAGGGGUUAAAAGCUGUUCUGGACAGCAAGGAAGUAAUCUAACUUUUGCUUAAUGAUAACUUGGUCUUCUGGAAGAAUUGUCUAAAUCAUAGUUGUUGUAAACUUUAUGAACUAGCUGUGGUUUAAAUUUUGGAUCAUUUGGUCCAGUAGUUUUGAAAUUGUGGCUUUUACAAGUUGGGUGCCAGAAAUAGGUGUUCUCUGUUUUCUGGGACAGAACCUGGAACUUUGUUUAAAUAACUUGUUUAACUUAUGAAUCUUGCUAUGAUGUCUAAAGAUGAAAUGUAGACAAAUUCAUAAGCUUUCCAUAAUGUCCUCAUUCAUGAUUGUUGGAUCUAUAUAGCUCCAGUUAUGAUUUAUUCCUUGAGCUGCACUGCUUUGUUGGUCAUUGCUGUUUGUAGUUUAACUUGGUAAUCUUGCUAAUUAGUUAAUCAUCUUGUGUGAACGGGUUAUGACAGUUACUCCGUAAAUGAGUGUUCAGCGAGUCUAAUUAUGUUAUCAAGCAUUCAUCCUUUUAGGAUGCACAUAUUCUUAUUCAUCGUGCAUGCAAUAGGUGCAUUGGAAACGACCGCUGUGUUCGAGCUCCAGGUGAACCCCGACGGCCAAGAGAUCAACCCGGAGGUGGAGGUCCAGCAAGCCAGACACAAGGAGCCCGAACAGGAGAUUGAGUGCCUGAAUCAUGAGCCUACAUCGUUCGUGAAUGGCAAGCCCCGGAGCAUCUUAAGUCUCCCAUUUUAAUUUCGAAAGCUUACUUGAUUAUGUUAUAUCUAUUGAUGCGUUACGUAUAGGAGUUGUGGUGAAACCCUUGCUGCAUUAUACUCAUUCCUUGUCCAGAUAUAUCUUACCACUACCUGGUUAUAGAGUUAGGAUCGAGUAGCAGCUUAGUCAUGCUUUAAUCGGUAGAAGUCGGGUGAUAUCCUGUCACCUGUGCGAGAUAGGGUUGUGUUGGAUCACGAUUGUCUAUAUGUGCUAUCGUGAAAAGAACCUGUUUAAAAUGACUUAAGUCGGGCGGAGUUUUGCAAGGUUGUAGUAACUCCGUCUGUGGCAGCUAAGGACCGAUCGUUGUACGUCCACUUGUCAUGUUGAACGCAUGCCUAACACUUAGUUGGCCGGAUAACUCGUUCCGACCGCGAAGCCUAGUAGUAUGACUCAGGCCGGAAGACCGGCAAGUAUAAAGUGCGCACUACCGGAGGAAGUACGGUGUGUGGGGGACCAUUGGCGUAAGACCAAAGGCAGGUGAGUUAAAAGUCCUGACCUCCCUGGCAGAGUGGUAGCCCUGGGAGUGCGGCGCUGAUCGGAGCUGCGAUUCCUGAGUCGUACCAAAGGUGACCCGCUGGCUCUCUGACAGGGGAUGCUUGGAUGAGUGCUAGGAAUAAUCCUCCAGCUGGAUAGGAAUCGAUUCGAAUUGCCGUAUCUCCCGGAUAGUGAGAACUCGACAGAGCGGCAAACGUAGCAUCCACUAAAGAACUUUGGUUCGUGAUAAUGAUGAUAGCAGGGAAGAGCACAUGAUGAACUUGAUAUGGUUAUUAUUGUUUGUAUUAAUCAAAGUGAAGUGCUUUAGUACAGGUGCUAAUCUAGUGAUAAGCUAAUAAAGACUAAAUGGACGCCUUUACAAAUGGUAUGGUAAUCACUUAAGCUUUAGUCAAAUGAUGAGUCAAACCAGCUACACUUUAUACUUAGCCUUGCAUGACCGUUGGUGUCUUUUAUGUUUUUACUAGACGGGUAAGUCUAGUUGAGUACAUUCUCGUACUCGAGGUUUAUUCCCACCUAUUGCAGAUGAUGUCUUUUAUGACGGCUUCUGCAAGACCUGUCUCCAUCCCGCUGGGGAUGAAGACUAAACCGUUGGGCACGGUUCUCUGACUACUUCGUACCUGUUGCUUUUGGUGGAUGGCAUAAGACUCUGGCAGAAACAAGAACUUGUGAACUAAACUUUGGAACAUGUGUUGUAAAACUAUUUUGCUUCCGCUACCGCAAACUUGUGUUGUAAUAACUAAGUAACUCUGAUGUGGUGCCGCUUCGACGGCAAUGAAUGACUAUGUAACAUUCGCUGUGUUAUGUUGAACUAUUACAAUCUUGGUUUGUUGCAAGUUGGUUUGAAGUCCUUCGCGAUUUCAGUUGACUACCGGGAUUAUAUGGGCUCAAGUUUGGAAACUUGAUUGCUAGUCGAUUGUUUCUACACUUGAACUCUUAUAAUUUGGUCGGUUAUGUGACACGAUCUUCCGAAAGGUUCUGGUAACUAUCGAUUUGGUGGAAACGAGACACAAAUCAAUUCAGCUUGCGAACAACACGAUUCGAAACUCUGCAAUUCUUUUUUUUUUGAUAUUUUUCUUUUACUUAGGAGCACUCAAGAAGUAACCACAGGAAAUUUGAGCUUAAACAAGUGAAAGACGUGGCCUGUGAAAUUUUUUGAAGAUUGCGAAAAAUAUGAAAAAAAACUUUAGGAGGUGAAAACUCAAAUUUCAGUGGCGAAUUUGGGGAUUCUAAAAUUGUCGAACCCGCCAAGAUAGGGGAUAGGCAGAUCCAAAAUUUUAUUAUGAUCAAUUUUAAUAUAUGGAAUGUCAAAAUCGGAGUUCGUAUGCGAACGUUAUGGCUGUUUUACGAACGGACUCCGAAUUAGAGGACAAAACGGUUCAGAAGUGGGGAAAUUUGCGGCGGUGGCUAGAAAUUGAUGGAAACGGUGGGAAAAAACACACAAACUGGACUCUAACAAGACCUAACCAGUAACAAUACCUUGACCAGGACACAAACUCAACACUACGGACUCUGAAACUGAAAUAUGCAAAGGCUAUAGCACGGAUGGGUUGUAGGACAUGAAAACAAUAUGGCACUAGACUUAUAGGACGAACACAAGGACACUCGAAACUAAGGGUAGAUGUGAACCUAACGGUAUGUCUGAAGCUUUGGUUACCACUUGAGGAGAACAAGUGUGGCCUUAUCUUCCGAAAGGUUCUGGUAACUAUCGGUUUUGUGGAAACCAGACACAAAUCAAUUCAACUUGCGAACAAUACGAUCCGAAAUCCUACAAUUCUUUUUAUUUUUUUGAAAUUUUUAUUUUACUUAAGAGCACUCAAGAAGUAACCACAGGAAAUUUGAGCUUACACAAGUGAAAGACGUGGCCUAUGGAUUUUUUUGAAGAUUCCAAAAAAUAUGAAAAAAAACUUUAGGAGGUGAAAACUUAAACUUUAUAGGUAAAUUUGGGGACUCUAAAAUUGUCGAACCCUCAUUGGGCGGGGAUAGACAGAUCCAAAAAAUUUUUCUAGAUCGAUUUUGAUAUAAAGAACGUCAAAAUUGGAGUUCGUAUACGAAAGUUAUGGCUGUUUUACGAACGAACUCCGAAUUAGUGGACAAAACGGUCUAGAAGUGGGAAAAAUUUGCGGUGGUGGCUAGAAAUUGAUGGAAUCGGAUGGAAAAAAUACACAAACUGGACUCUAACAAGAUCUAACUAGCAACAAGACCUCGACCAGGACACAAACUCAACACUAUGGACUUUGAAACUAAAAUAUGCAAAGGCCAUGGCUCGGAUGGGUUGUAGGACAUGAAAACAAUAUGGCACUAGACUUUUGGGAUGAACAUAAGAACACUCGAAACUAAGGUUAGAUGUGAACCUAACGGUAUGUCUGAAGCUUUCAUUACCACUUGAGGAGAACAAGUGUGGCCCGAUCUUCUGAAAGGUUCUGGUAACUAUGAUUUGGUGGAAACGAGACACAAAUCAAUUCAGCUUGCGAACAACACAAUUCAAAACCCUACAAUUCUUUUUAUUUUUUUUUAAUAUUUUUCUUUUACACAGGAGCACUCAAGAAGUAACCACAUGAAAUUUGAGCUUAAACAAGUGAAAGACGUGGCCUGUGGAAAUUUUUGAAGAUUGCGAAAAAUAUGAAAAAAAAACUUUAGGAGGUGAAAAUUCAAACUUCAGAGGCAAAUUUGGGGAUUCUCAAAUUGUCGAACCCCACAACGGCGGGGAUAGGCAGAUCCAAAAUUUUAUUAUAAUCGAUUUUGAUAUAUGGAACAUCAAAAUCGGAGUUCGUAUGCGAAAGUUACGGCUAUUUUACGAACGGACUCCGAAUUAGAGGACAAAACGGUCCGGAAGUGGCAAAAAUUUGCGGCGGUGGCUAGAAAUUGAUGAAAACGAUGGGAAAAAACACACAAACUGGACUCUAACAAGACCUAACUAGUAACAAUACCUCGACCAGGACACAAAGUCAACACUACGGACUCUGAAACUGAAAUAUGCAAAGGCUAUGGCGCGGAUGGGUUGUAGGACAUGAAAACAAUAUGGCACUAGACUUAUGGGACGAACACAAGGACACUCGAAACUAAGGGUAGAUGUGAACCUAACGGUAUGUCUCAAGCUUUGAUUACCACUUGAGGAGAACAAGUCUGGCCCGAUCUUCUGAAAGGUUCUGGUAACUAUCGAUUUGGUGGAAACGAGACACAAAUCAAUCCAAAUUGCGAACAACACGAUCCGAAACCCUACAAUUCUUUUUAUUUUUUUGAUAUUUUUCUUUUACUUAGGAGCACUCAAGAAGUAACCACAGGAAAUUUGAGCUUAAACAAGUGAAAGACGUGGCCUGUGGAAUUUUUUGAAGAUUGUGAAAAAUAUGAAAAAAAAGUUUAGGAGGUGAAAACUCAAACUUCAGAGGCGAAUUUGGGGAUUCUAAAAUUGUCGAACCCGCCUUUGGCGGGGAUAGCCCGAUCAAAAAAAAUUUUCUGAUCGAUUUUGAUAUAUGAAACGUCAAAAUUGGAGUUCGUAUGCGAAAGUUAUGGCUAUUUUACGAACGGACUCCGAAUUAGAGGACAAAACGGUCCAGAAGUGAGAAAAAUUUGGGGUGGUGGCUAGAAAUUGAUGGAAACAGUGGGAAAAAAUAAACAAACUGGACUGUAACAAGACCUAACCAGUAACAAGACCUCGACCAGGACACAAACUCAACACUACGGACUCUGAAACUGAAAUAUGCAAAGGCUAUGGCGCGGAUGGGUUGUAGGACAUGAAAACAAUAUGGCACUAGACUUAUGGGACGAACACAAGGACACUUGAAACUAAGGGUAGAUGUGAACCAAACGGUAUGUCUGAUGCAUUGAUUACCACUUGAGGAGAACAAGUGUGGUCCGAUCUUCCGAAAGUUUCUGGUAACUAUCGAUUUGGUGGAAACGAGAGACAUAUCAAUCCAGUUUGCGAACAACAUUAUUCGAAACCCUACAAUUCUUUUUUUUGAUAUUUUUCUUUUACUUAGGAGCAGUCAAGAAGUAACCACAGGAAAUUUGAGCUUAAACAAGUGAAAUACGUGGCCUGUGGAAUUUUAUGAAGAUUGUGAAAAAUAUGAAAAAAAAACUUUAGGAGGUGAAAACUCAAACUUCAGAGGCGAAUUUGGGGAUCCUAAAAUUGAUGAACCCACCGUUGGUGGGGAUAGACAGAUCCAAAAAAAUUUUCUGAUCGAUUUUGAUAUAUGGAACGUAAAAUCAGAGUUCAUAUGCGAAAGUUAUGGCUGUUUUACGAACGGACUCCGAAUUAGAGGACAAAACGGUCCGGAAGUGGGAAAAAUUUGCGGCAGUGGCUAGAAAUUGAUUGAAACGGUGGGAAAAAACACACAAACUGGACUCUAACAAGACCUAACCGGUAACAAGACCUUGACCAUGACACAAACUCAACACUACGGACUGAAAUAUGCAACGGCUAUGGCGCGGAUGGGUUGUAGGACAUGAAAACAAUAUGGCACUGGACUUAUGGGACGAACACAAGGAAACUUGAAACUAAGGGUAGAUGUGAACCUAACGGUAUGUCUGAAGCUUUGAUUACCACUUGAGGACAGAUCCGAUCUUCCGAAAGUUUCUCGUAACUAUCGAUUUGGUGGAAACGAGAGACAUAUCAAUCCAGCUUGCGAACAACACAAUUCGAAACCCUGUAAUUCUUUUUAUUUUUUUUUUGAUAUUUUUCUUUUACUUAGGAGCACUCAAGAAGUAACCACAGGAAAUUUGAGCUUAAACAAGUGAAAGACAUGGCCUGUAGAAUUUUUUGAAGAUUGUGAAAAAUAUGAAAAAAAACUUUAGGAGGUGAAAACUCAAACUUCAGAGGCGAAUUUAGGGAUUCUAUAAUUGUCGAACCCACAGAUGGCGGUGAUAGACAGACCUAAAAAAAUUUCAGAUCAAUUUUGAUAUAUGGAACGUCAAAAUUGGAGUUCGUAUGCGAAAGUUAUGGCUGUUUUACGAACGGACUCCGAAUUAGAGGACAAAAAAGUCCGAAAGUGGGAAAAAUUUGCGGCAGUGGCUAGAAAUUGAUGGAAACGGUGGGAAAAAACACACAAACUGGACUCUAACAAGACCUAACCGGUAACAAGACCUAGACGAGGACACAAACUCAACACUACGGACUGUGAAACUGAAAUAUGCAACGGCUAUGGCGCGGAUGGGUUGUAGGACAUGAAAACAAUAUGACACUAGACUUAUGGGACGAACACAAGGACACUUAAAACUAAGGGUAGAUGUGAACCUAACGGUAUGUCUGAAGCUUUGAUUACCACUUGUGAAGAACAAGUGUGGCCCGAUCUUCCAAAAGUUUCUCGUAACUAUCGAUUUGGUGGAAACGAGAGACAUAUCAAUCCAGCUUGCGAACAACACAAUUCGAAACCCUACAAUUCUUUUUAUUUUUAUUUUUUGAUAUUUUUCUUUUACUUAGGAGCACUCAAGAAGUAACCACAGGAAAUUUGAACUUAAACAAGUGAAAGACGUGCCCUAUGGAAUUUUUUGAAGAUUGUGAA
Molecule: long non-coding RNA, 11306 nt
Filed under: Sorghum bicolor (sorghum)
Lineage: Eukaryota; Viridiplantae; Streptophyta; Magnoliopsida; Poales; Poaceae
Description: long non-coding RNA (SBIC_LNC010521)
Source: RNAcentral